GACGGAGGAUGCAAGCGUUAUCCGGAAUUAUUGGGCGUAAAGCGUCCGUAGGCGGUGAAUCAAGUCUGCUGUCAAAGACUGCAGCUCAACUGUGGAACGGCAGUGGAAACUGAUUAACUUGAGUGUGGUAGGGGUAGAGGGAAUUCCCAGUGUAGCGGUGAAAUGCGUAGAUAUUGGGAAGAACACCAGUGGCGAAGGCGCUCUACUGGGCCAUAACUGACGCUGAGGGACGAAAGCUAGGGGAGCGAAAGGG
Molecule: ribosomal RNA, 253 nt
Filed under: uncultured bacterium
Lineage: Bacteria
Description: partial 16S ribosomal RNA
Rfam family: Bacterial small subunit ribosomal RNA
Source: RNAcentral